Molecule: long non-coding RNA, 1222 nt
Filed under: Carassius auratus (goldfish)
Lineage: Eukaryota; Metazoa; Chordata; Actinopteri; Cypriniformes; Cyprinidae
Description: lncRNA (ENSCARG00000007527.1)
Source: RNAcentral
UGGGGACAAAUAUUGUAAAGCUAAGUACACAGCUCAGUAAAAAUGCACAGAUAAAUGCGGCUGUUGCUUUGUUCUGUAACUUCUGUAGCCAGUGUGUCAUUUACUGAACGACAGCAGUUUUGCUCCUGAUGUGAUGACGGACAGGAGGAAGGCUUGAUGUGUUUCUCUCUGUUCAGGGCGGUGGGCUGAGGUUGAUUGACAGCAGCUCUGGGGUGACGGUGUAUCCGUUCUCCACAGCUGAGCGCAGGAUAGAUCUCCUGCCAGACAGCUUUCAGCAUCAGGUCUCAGUAAGAGAGACUUCCACAGUGUCCUCAACAACAUCCAGCAUCUGCUGCUCCAGGCCUCCUGCUCCCGCUCAGGAACACAGCGCCAUCUACAGGUUGGGCCGUGUGAGCAUGAGUGUGGCUGCUGAAGACUCUGGCAGCGGUGUACAUUUGACUAACAGCUCUUGUGUUGCCAUGUAGAGAGAAAUCAGGAGUAAGUGCAGAGAACUGUGUGUGAACAUGAUCUUGCUGGACUAAAUAUGAACGUGUGUUUACUCCUCUCACCUGAACAAAAACAGAUUCAGUAUGCCUCAAAAUAAAUAAAAACAGUAAAACGCAAUAUCAGAAUAUUAUACAAACAUGCAAUAAUUAAAUAUGUUAAAUUAGACACAUAUCAUUAAUCCCAUUUUAUUAACCAAUGUCUUUGCUGCAGACCUUCAAUGAUCCAAUUAAAACAUUCUAAGCAAACAUUACACAUACGUGUUUUAUUUGUGUUUUUGUUGGAAGGUGUUGAACUUUCUUCUCCUGCGUCAUAUUCAACAUGUGAUUUGUUUGUGCGGCACCCUCUUAUUGUACAGACGUGAUAUUAUAUUUCCUUCAGCCUAAGGCGGAUUCAUGUAACUUUUGGUGUGAAAGGGCUUUUACAUUUGUAAAGAAGAAUGUUUUAUAUUAAAAACAAACAAGCAAGCCCUGCCCAGAUUUAACGUUAAACAUUACUUUCCAUAAGAAGUAAAUAAGAAAUAAUAAUUACUUUUUAGAGAGUAACACAAAAGUUGUAGUGCAUUACUUUUAGAAGUCACUUUGCCCAACACCUUCCUCCUGAUGAAGAGAUGUGAAAGUUUGAAAAUAAAGCUGUUAGUUUAAACCACAUCUCCUGUCAUUUAUUGACUUUCCUGAUGCUGUUAAUGUUUUCUGUGGAACACAAAGAGAAAUGUGAAGAAUACCCUGAAGACCAAAAC